RNAcentral lists this ribosomal RNA (468 nucleotides) under uncultured bacterium. RNAcentral describes it as "partial 16S ribosomal RNA". It matches the Rfam family "Bacterial small subunit ribosomal RNA", at positions 28 to 507 of the family's 1533-position model. The record is from RNAcentral.
GACGAACGCUGGCGGCGUGCUUAAUACAUGCAAGUCGAACGGAAAGGCCCUGGUUUUGUGGGGUACUCGAGUGGCGGACGGGUGGGUAACACGUGAGUAACCUGCCCUGUACUUUGGGAUAACCUCAGGAAACUGGGGCUAAUACCGGGUAGGAGCUCCCGCUGCAUGGUGGGGGUUGGAAAGUUUCGGCGGUCGGGGAUGGACGCGCGGCUGAUCAGCGUGUUGGUGGGGGAGUGGCUUACCAAGGCUUUGACGGGUAGCCGGCCUGAGAGGGUGACCGGCCACAUUGGGACUGAGAGACGGCGCAGACGCCUAUGGGAGGCAGCAGUCGGGAGUAUUGCACAACGGGCGGAAGCCUGAUGCAGCGGCGCCGGGUGCGGGAUGACGGCCUGUGAGUGGUAAACCGCUUUCGCCUGUGACGAAGCGUGAGUGACGGUAAUGGGUAAGGAAGCAACGGCUAACUACGUG